This is a long non-coding RNA of Oncorhynchus tshawytscha (Chinook salmon), 748 nucleotides long. Lineage: Eukaryota; Metazoa; Chordata; Actinopteri; Salmoniformes; Salmonidae. The record is from Ensembl.
CUCGUUGAAGAUGUAGCCUCCGUGGCAAAGUGAGUUUGACAGCCCUGAUAUAGACGAUAAAUAAAAUAUGGUAAGCAGUGUUGUGCUUAAUGUAGGUGUUUAUCUCUUAGUUGUUACUCUUGUGAAUGGUUAAACAAGCCGUAGCCAGGUCUAGGAGGUCUUGGUACAGAAGAUAGAAGAGAUACUCAGAAGGUAGAAGAGAUACUCAGAAGGUAGAAGAGGUACUCAGAAAGUAGAAGAGAUACUCAGAAAGUAGAAGAGAUACUCAGAAAGUAGAAGAGAUACUCAGAAAGUAGAAGAGAUACUCAGUCAGAGGUGUAGAUGACUAGACAGAACAGGCCCGAUGCUCCAGUAUCACAGGCCAUUGAUCAAAAGGAAUGUCGGCACACAGCAUAUUGUUUUAUCUAUCAGGUUAAGGGGGAGGGGCUCAACUCCAAGGAAUGGGAAUAACUAACAUGACAUCAGUCCCACAGGGUCAUUCUUGAGCUGCGGUAAUAUAUAUAUUUUUAAAUUAAACUUUUUUUUUUUUUACUAGAAUAAAUGCAUUUUCUGAAUCCCCACAAAAUGAAGAACAUAUUAAACCUCCAAGAAAGCAUUUACCUUCAACCCCGUCACAGACAACAUGGAAGUUGUCUGAAUAUGAUUCUAAAAGAUACUUGUUAUAAAAUCAACAUCUACCUAAUGCCCAAAUAAAUACAAUUAUUAGAAAUAUAAAAUCUCAGAAAUGUUUGCUUUUAUUAAAACCCUG